GGAGGUAGUGACAAUAAAUCACAAUGCGGGACUAGUAGUCUUGCAAUUGGAUUGAGAACAAUGUACAACUCUUAUCGAUAAGCCAUUGGAGGGCAAGUCUGGUGCCAGCAGCCGCGGUAAUUCCAGCUCCAAUAGCGUAUAUUAACGUUGUUGCAGUUAAAAAGCUCGUAGUUGAAGUGUGGGUGGUGCCAUCUGUGAAGCUUCGGCUUCUAGGAUACUCACUACCCCCUUCCAGUAUCCAGUAGUGGGUAUUCAGUUACUUACUAUUGUGUGUUGGUCAUUUACUGUGAGAAAAUUAGAGUGUUCAAAGCAGGCGUUUGCUUGAAUAGAUUAGCAUGGAAUAAUAAUUGAAGGCUUUCGUGUUCGAUUUGAUUGGUUUGUUCAUGGAAGCAAGGUUAAAAGGAACAGUUGGGGGUAUUCAUAUUCACUAGUUAGAGGUGAAAUUCUCGGAUUUAUGGAAGAUGAACAAGUGCGAAAGCA
Molecule: ribosomal RNA, 480 nt
Filed under: Blastocystis sp.
Lineage: Eukaryota; Bigyra; Opalinata; Blastocystidae
Description: SSU rRNA
Rfam family: Eukaryotic small subunit ribosomal RNA
Source: RNAcentral